Molecule: ribosomal RNA, 565 nt
Filed under: Penicillium sp. NG9
Lineage: Eukaryota; Fungi; Ascomycota; Eurotiomycetes; Eurotiales; Aspergillaceae
Description: eukaryotic LSU rRNA
Rfam family: 5.8S ribosomal RNA (bases 194-347)
Source: RNAcentral
UGCGGAAGGAUCAUUACCGAGUGAGGGCCCUCUGGGUCCAACCUCCCACCCGUGUUUAUCGUACCUUGUUGCUUCGGCGGGCCCGCCUCACGGCCGCCGGGGGGCAUCCGCCCCCGGGCCCGCGCCCGCCGAAGACACACAAACGAACUCUUGUCUGAAGAUUGCAGUCUGAGUACUUGACUAAAUCAGUUAAAACUUUCAACAACGGAUCUCUUGGUUCCGGCAUCGAUGAAGAACGCAGCGAAAUGCGAUAAGUAAUGUGAAUUGCAGAAUUCAGUGAAUCAUCGAGUCUUUGAACGCACAUUGCGCCCCCUGGUAUUCCGGGGGGCAUGCCUGUCCGAGCGUCAUUGCUGCCCUCAAGCACGGCUUGUGUGUUGGGCUCUCGCCCCCCGCUUCCGGGGGGCGGGCCCGAAAGGCAGCGGCGGCACCGCGUCCGGUCCUCGAGCGUAUGGGGCUUCGUCACCCGCUCUGUAGGCCCGGCCGGCGCCCGCCGGCGAACACCAUCAAUCUUAACCAGGUUGACCUCGGAUCAGGUAGGGAUACCCGCUGAACUUAAGCAUAUCAA